CAGGUUUACCUGUGUGACUGCGUACCUUUUGUAUAAUGGGUCAGCGACUUAUAUUCUGUAGCAAGGUUAACCGAAUAGGGGAGCCGGAGGGAAACCGAGUCUUAACCGGGCGUUAAGUUGCAGGGUAUAGACCCGAAACCCGGUGAUCUAGCCAUGGGCAGGUUGAAGGUUGGGUAACACUAACUGGAGGACCGAACCGACUAAUGUUGAAAAAUUAGCGGAUGACCUGUGGCUGGGGGUGAAAGGCCAAUCAAACCGGGAGAUAGCUGGUUCUCCCCGAAAGCUAUUUAGGUAGCGCCUCGUGAAUUCAUCUCCGGGGGUAGAGCACUGUUUCGGCUAGGGGGCCAUCCCGGCUUACCAACCCGAUGCAAACUGCGAAUACCGGAGAAUGUUAUCACGGGAGACACACGGCGGGUGCUAACGUCCGUCGUGAAGAGGGAAACAACCCAGACCGCCAGCUAAGGUCCCAAAGUCAUGGUUAAGUGGGAAACGAUGUGGGAAGGCCCAGACAGCCAGGAUGUUGGCUUAGAAGCAGCCAUCAUUUAAAGAAAGCGUAAUAGCUCACUGGUCGAGUCGGCCUGCGCGGAAGAUGUAACGGGGCUAAACCAU
RNAcentral lists this ribosomal RNA (609 nucleotides) under Salmonella enterica subsp. enterica serovar Infantis. Its description in RNAcentral is "partial 23S ribosomal RNA". It matches the Rfam family "Bacterial large subunit ribosomal RNA", at positions 580 to 1190 of the family's 2925-position model. The record is from RNAcentral. RNAcentral also lists the same sequence under 6 other names. Lineage: Bacteria; Pseudomonadati; Pseudomonadota; Gammaproteobacteria; Enterobacterales; Enterobacteriaceae.